AUGAAAUUUGGCUAUAGAUGGAGCAUAGGGGAUGGGAGCAGAACCAGGUUUUGGGAAGAUACUUGGUUUGGCACAUCCCCCCUAGCAGUCCAAUUUUGGCCUGUCUACUCUAUUUGGAAUGAACAAAACAAAAGUGUGAAUGAAAUUUGAGAUGGGCAAUGCCUAAAACUCUCUUUCAGGAGGAACUUUAAUGACAGUCUCAUGGAACAAUGGUUUCAGCUGGAGGGAAUUGCCAAGAGCAUUGUCUUUACUGCCGAUCCAGAUGCCCUGAUCUGGCAACUAGACAAAAAGGGGCAGUACUCUUCCAGCUCCCUCUAUCAUAUUAUCAAUUUUAGAGGGGUUCAGCCUAUGUUUAUCCCUGCAGUCUGGAAAUUAAGAGUUCCUCCUAAAAUUCAUGUUUUUCUCUAG
This 408-nucleotide ribosomal RNA is filed under the name Triticum aestivum (bread wheat). RNAcentral describes it as "partial small subunit ribosomal RNA". Lineage: Eukaryota; Viridiplantae; Streptophyta; Magnoliopsida; Poales; Poaceae. The record is from RNAcentral.